GCUAAGCAACGAGAUCAUGUACAAGAAUUUGCCCAGGAAAAGAAAUUCAUUACAUACACAAUCAACAAGAGCACCACAAGUGCUAACAAGUAAGAGCAAGAACCACAAGUGUACAACAAGUGAAUAAAGAGAAAUAUUCUAGCUAUUACAACCAUUCAACAUUAAUUCUUUUAAUUACAUUUCCAUCUCCAAAAAUGUAAUACAAGUUUACCUCCAAAAUAUAUAAGUAGGUCUGUAACAUAUUACUUCCCCGUAAGUCGUGCCGAGUUCCGUCGAAAUGUGUGGAACGCGGAGUGGAACGAGUUGGUAUAGGUUCAAAGUGCAUUGGAACCUAUAUAGACAUUAAAGGGACCCGAGAGAGUGAAAUUGCAAAAUCUGGCUAAGUUCUAGAUUUUGGACUCUCGGGGACCGGUCCCUAAUGGAAGAGACCGGUCCCCGUAUGCGUAGCCUGCCCAGAAAGCUGAAAAAUCGGCUAAGUCUUGGGAUGCCAGGCUACGGGAACCGGUCCCUGUGGGGAGAGGCCGGUCCCCGUAGGUGAAAAAGUUGGGGAAUGGCUUAGUUGGGAAAUGUUGCUCUCGGGAACCGGUCCCUGAGAUGAGAGACCGGUCCCCGUGCGCGUGGCCAGCCCAAAAAGAUGAAAAUUUAGCUAAGUCCUGAGAGGUGUACUCUCGGGGACCGGUCCCUGCGGGGAGAGACUGGUCCCUGCGGGGAGAGACCGGUCCCCGUAUGCGAAAAUUGCCCAGGUUGGGCUAUUGCAAAAAUAGAAAGUUGAGGGGUUUAAGUGCAAAAGUGGCAUGUGUUGGGUAUAUGGGUGUGAGGGAUGAGUGUUAGGGCUCAUUCUCUCCCACACCAACAAAACACUUCCCUCUCUCUCUCUAAAAACUCUUCUCCUCUCUCUCCUUCUCUCUCUAGGGCUUGGACCAAGGAAGGAUUUAGAGGACUUGGGUGGAGAAGAAGAUCAAGUUGAUGGUGUAGCUUGCAAGAGUGCAAGUGAUCAAGGAAAAGCUUGAACCAAAGGUGAGAGUUUUUGGUUUUAAGUUAGGGUUUUGGUUUGUUUCCUUCUAGCAUGCUUCUAGGAGAUGAUUAGAGGAUUUCCCCCAUGUUUCUCAUGUGUAAGGACUAGAAAUGGGGAAGAUGGUAUUGUACGAGGACCUAAUUUUAGGGUUUUUGGAUUUUGAGGUCGAAGCUUGGGUUUGAUCUCAUUUUAACCUAAUUGGUAGGUUAACGAACACGUUGGUGCGCUCGGUUUGGCGAUACGACGAGCGUGCGCGAAGAAAUUGAGGAAACAGGCUAAAUUGGUACAGAUUGCCGCAGCUCGCGGCGAAAGCGUUUAAAAUUGUGGAAAAUUGCAUUCCGGCAUCCUUGUAACACUAAAAGGUGGGGGGUACUAUCCGGAAACACCGGAUCUCUUUCUAUGUCUAUGUCACUUUAUUUGAGCAUCUUGUAUCAUUGCAUUCUUGCAUAUAGGGCAGCUUAUUUAUGUGUGCUUAAUUGAAUUGCAUUUAGAUGCUAAAAGAACAUGUGAAUGAUGAAACACCAUGAGGACUUGUAUGUGAGAACCCUAUGUGCAUGUGAAUGCGAGAAAAGACUUGGAUAAUAGUAAACAAGGGUGACAUUGGCAUUAGUGACCAUAUUGGCACCGAAAAUGUAAAGGACUAAACAAGGUUUAACUUAUUGUAGUAUCAGGACCAUUGCGGCUUUGUGCAUUGAGACAGGUUUGGCAAGAUUUCCUCAAAUUGAGGAUUGGAUCGUACUCACACUAGCUUUGGCUUGAGGAAGGUAGCUCCUCCUCAAGCGGUGUACUCCGGAGUGUAGACACCACGGGGAGCGGCCCCGUCAUUGUUCCCUCGGGCAGUAGUGCUAGUAGCCUCCCCCGGUAGACGGGAAUUGUGGUUUGUGAGAUUCGGGGUGAACCAUGUGUACCUCGGGAUGAUUGGGUAAAGGCCAAAAGAAAAGAAAAUGAAUGAGCAAGGACAUACAUGCAUAAUUAUCAUGUACUGCUAUAUCUAUCUAUCUGUGGAUUGUUUUCUUGCAGGCAUUGUAAUAGAUUUGCAGUAGUUGGUUUGCAAUCUAUCGUUUCUUGAAUUACAUAUGCAUGAGAUAGACCUAGUGGGCGAGUCGGCGCGGUCGGCGGCCGAACCCACUGGGAACUUCGUUCUAGUUCUCAUUACCACUAACCCUGCAGAUCCGUGCGCGAGCGGGGUGGCGGAGGAUCGAGGCAAGGGUAUCGCGCCAUAGACAGUGGCCCUCGGAGUUUUAGGCAUACCCUAUAUAUUUUGGUAUAUUCAACUUUUGUAUGUUGAACUAGUAAUAUAAAUGAUGUAAACCUUAUAUUUUGGUUAAAGGCCAAUGUGAUGUAAAUGAAUGGAUAAAUAAAUGUAAAUGUAAUAGUUUACUUGUGUUUGAUUCAAAGGUAAUCAAAUGACUUGUAUGUUGAAUGAUUAGUUACUUUCGAUGCUUUCACCUGUUGGUUGUUGUUUGCCCUCGUGCAAACCUUGUAUAUCUUGCAAUUUCCUUGUUGACUUGCUUGUAAUAUACAUGUUGUUGGAGCCUUGGGCGGACAGGGGAGGUGCUAUCCGUUCGGCGUCUGUUCGCGUGCCCGAACUGACCAAAUUGGUGGCUCCGGAGCGUGACAAGCUCUCUAACAUCUAUCCAAAAUAUACAUCAUCAUCGUCUAGUACACGAGGGUACUCUAAAUGCAUAUAGGAAGCUACUAACUACUUAGGGCGCUAUGCCCUUGCC
RNAcentral lists this long non-coding RNA (2742 nucleotides) under Ananas comosus (pineapple). RNAcentral's name for it is "long non-coding RNA (ACOM_LNC016669)". The record is from RNAcentral. Lineage: Eukaryota; Viridiplantae; Streptophyta; Magnoliopsida; Poales; Bromeliaceae.